AACGAACGCUGGCGGCAUGCCUAACACAUGCAAGUCGAACGAGACCUUCGGGUCUAGUGGCGCACGGGUGCGUAACGCGUGGGAACCUGCCCUUAGGUUCGGAAUAACUCCCCGAAAGGGGUGCUAAUACCGGAUAAUGUCUUCGGACCAAAGAUUUAUCGCCUUUGGAUGGGCCCGCGUUGGAUUAGCUAGUUGGUAGGGUAAAAGCCUACCAAGGCGACGAUCCAUAGCUGGUCUGAGAGGAUGAUCAGCCACACUGGGACUGAGACACGGCCCAGACGCAUACUGGAGGCAGCAGUGGGGAAUAUUGGACGAUGGGCUAAAGCUUGAUCCAGCAAUGCCGCGUGAGUGAUGAAGGCCUUAGGGUUGUAAAGCUCUUUUACCCGCGAUGAUAAUGACAGUACCGAGAGAAUAAGCUCCGGCUAACUCC
RNAcentral lists this ribosomal RNA (430 nucleotides) under uncultured bacterium. RNAcentral describes it as "partial 16S ribosomal RNA". It matches the Rfam family "Bacterial small subunit ribosomal RNA", at positions 29 to 504 of the family's 1533-position model. The record is from RNAcentral.